GUUUAUGGUUAUACCACCCUGAAAGUGCCCAAUCUCAUCUGAUCUCAGAAGCUAUGCAGGGUUGGGCCUGGUUAGUACUUGGAUGGGAGAUGAGAGACCAAGAUCUUGAAAUA
Molecule: ribosomal RNA, 113 nt
Filed under: Microcebus murinus (gray mouse lemur)
Lineage: Eukaryota; Metazoa; Chordata; Mammalia; Primates; Cheirogaleidae
Source: RNAcentral